RNAcentral lists this ribosomal RNA (472 nucleotides) under uncultured bacterium. RNAcentral describes it as "partial 16S ribosomal RNA". It matches the Rfam family "Bacterial small subunit ribosomal RNA", at positions 30 to 507 of the family's 1533-position model. The record is from RNAcentral.
AUUGAACGCUGGCGGCAGGCCUAACACAUGCAAGUCGGGCGGGGACUUCGGUCCUAGCGGCGAACGGGUGAGUAAUGCUUGGGAAUCUGCCCAGUAGUGGGGGAUAACGUCCCGAAAGGGACGCUAAUACCGCAUACGUCCUACGGGAGAAAGAGGGGGAUCUUCGGACCUCUCGCUAUUGGAUGAGCCCAAGUCGGAUUAGCUAGUUGGUAGGGUAAUGGCCUACCAAGGCGACGAUCCGUAGCUGGUCUGAGAGGAUGAUCAGCCACACUGGAACUGAGACACGGUCCAGACUCCUACGGGAGGCAGCAGUGGGGAAUAUUGGACAAUGGGCGAAAGCCUGAUCCAGCCAUGCCGCGUGUGUGAAGAAGGCCUUCGGGUUGUAAAGCACUUUAAGCGGGGAGGAAGGUUCGCGGCCUAAUACGUCGCGGAAUUGACGUUACCCGCAGAAUAAGCACCGGCUAACUCUGUG